Bos taurus (domestic cattle) is the source of this 871-nucleotide long non-coding RNA. The record is from Ensembl. Lineage: Eukaryota; Metazoa; Chordata; Mammalia; Artiodactyla; Bovidae.
CUCUAUUUAUGUGUGUCUCACUGUGUGUCUUCGUUCUUGGACAAAACUGCUAAAGGCUAAUUGGUCAAUGAGCUCUAUUUAAUUGGCCUAAAGAGAAUGAUCAGGGCACCCACUUUGCUGGACAGUUUGCACAGACACUGGCAAAAAUUUCACGAGCUUCUUGGAGACUAUCACCUUCAUGGAUAUCCUUUGUCACCAGGAAUUGGAGACAUUUGGGUUCUGAACAGCCUCACCAAGGUCCAAAAAAGACUAUCUCCAGACAUACACAAAAAUCUCAGAGUAUAUUGGGGAGCCCAAACUCAUACAGAUGAGGAAACUAACAAUAGUCCUCAGAUGCAUGCAAAAAACCCUCCAAAAACUAAUGAAGAAAGAAGUUGCAAGAUCAACAUAUCUUCUGCUACAAAAACAAAAAGGGGGAUAUGCAGGGGUUAACAGUCAGCCACCUGUUGCUCUGGCUAAGCCAUGAGAAAAUCACCAUGGGAAAAGAAUAAAAGCAAAAUAUAGCAAUACAGCAUAACCCAGAUAAAAGUACAUCAGGUUGAUCAGCUGGGGUUGUCAUGCCCUGCUAAGCUAAGGAAAAACAUAGUGUGGACCUUGGAACGGCAGGUCUGCGCAAGUUCAGAGCGCUGCUUGUGCACACACCAGGAUGUUUUCCCAAGGCAUAUGCGAGUCUAUGACCUCCAGCUAGGCGAUAGCCCUUGUACAAGAAAACAACAGAUAGUUUAAAGUAAUCAAUAAAAUGGGACAGGUGUCCAGGGACACAGGAGGCUGACUUCAUGGUAGCACAACAGAACCUUGCUACUUGCCAAGACACUAGAUAAAAGUGAUGUGGCUCUGAGGAACAGGGCUCUUGACCCAAGGAGUCUUGAGU